Molecule: ribosomal RNA, 462 nt
Filed under: uncultured bacterium
Lineage: Bacteria
Description: partial 16S ribosomal RNA
Rfam family: Bacterial small subunit ribosomal RNA
Source: RNAcentral
GACGAACGCUGGCGGCGUGCUUAACACAUGCAAGUCGAACGGAAAGGCCCUUCGGGGUCCUCGAGUGGCGAACGGGUGAGUAACACGUGGGUGAUCUGCCCUGCACUUUGGGAUAAGCCUGGGAAACUGGGUCUAAUACCGAAUAGGACCACGCGCUUCAUGGUGUGUGGUGGAAAGCUUUUGCGGUGUGGGAUGGGCCCGCGGCCUAUCAGCUUGUUGGUGGGGUAAUGGCCUACCAAGGCGACGACGGGUAGCCGGCCUGAGAGGGUGACCGGCCACACUGGGACUGAGAUACGGCCCAGACUCCUACGGGAGGCAGCAGUGGGGAAUAUUGCACAAUGGGCGCAAGCCUGAUGCAGCGACGCCGCGUGAGGGAUGACGGCCUUCGGGUUGUAAACCUCUUUCAAUAGGGACGAAGCGCAAGUGACGGUACCUAGAGAAGAAGCACCGGCCAACUACGUG